RNAcentral lists this non-coding RNA (200 nucleotides) under Flavobacterium sp. Lineage: Bacteria; Pseudomonadati; Bacteroidota; Flavobacteriia; Flavobacteriales; Flavobacteriaceae. The record is from RNAcentral.
AUCUUUGCACGAAAUUAAGGUUGUGUUCAUUAACACAUUAAAAGGGAAUCAAGUAAUAAAUCUUGAGCUGUACCCGCAACUGUAAGCUUAGUUCUGAAAAGAAUGCUUGUUGUAAACUACAAACCACUGCUCGCCCCGGCGAUUGGGAAGGUAAACAACAAGACGCAAGCCAGGAGACCUGCCUUUGUAACGAAUAUCGA